This 596-nucleotide ribosomal RNA is filed under the name Pryeria sinica. Its description in RNAcentral is "partial 12S ribosomal RNA". The record is from RNAcentral. Lineage: Eukaryota; Metazoa; Arthropoda; Insecta; Lepidoptera; Zygaenidae.
UGCGGUUAUACAAAAAUUAAAUUAAAUUUUAUUAGAAUUUAAUAAAUAAAAUAAAAAUUAAUUUAAAUAUAAAAUUAUUAAGUAAAAUUUUAAUUUUAUUAAAAAUUAUUUAUAUUUUAUAAAUUAAAAAUUUUAUAUAGUAAACUAGGAUUAGAUACCCUAUUAUUAUAAAUUUAAUUAAAAUUCUAAAAUAGUAGGUAUUUAAUAUUGAAACUUAAAUAAUUUGGCGGUAUUUUAGUUCAUUUAGAGGAAUCUGUCUAAUAAUUGAUAUUCCACGAAUAAAUUUACUUAAUUUAUUAUUUUAUAUAUCGUUGUUAAUAAAAUAUUUUUUAAUAAUAAUAAUAUUUUAAAAUUAUGAUAAAAAAUUAAAUCAGAUCAAGAUGUAGAUUAUAAUUAAGAAUAUGAUGGAUUACAAUAAAUUUAUUUAAAUGGAUUUUUUUUUGAAAAUAAAAUUGAAAGUGGAUUUAAAUGUAAUUUUAUUUAAUUUAAUAGAAUGAUUAAAAAUUAAAAUAUGUACAUAUUGCCCGUCGCUUUCAUAAAUAAAUUGGAAUAAGUCGUAACAAAGUAGAAGUACUGGAAAGUGUUUCUAGAAAGAA